GCUGGAAUGGUCUAGUUAGCGAUUACGACUGCCUUACACGCAGUGGGUACCGAGUUCAAUUCUCGUUUCCUGUA
Molecule: transfer RNA, 74 nt
Filed under: Perkinsus marinus ATCC 50983
Lineage: Eukaryota; Perkinsozoa; Perkinsida; Perkinsidae
Rfam family: tRNA
About the family: Transfer RNA (tRNA) molecules are approximately 80 nucleotides in length. Their secondary structure includes four short double-helical elements and three loops (D, anti-codon, and T loops).
Source: Rfam by way of RNAcentral